Molecule: transfer RNA, 76 nt
Filed under: Bryobacterales bacterium
Lineage: Bacteria; Pseudomonadati; Acidobacteriota; Terriglobia; Bryobacterales
Description: tRNA-Ala
Rfam family: tRNA
About the family: Transfer RNA (tRNA) molecules are approximately 80 nucleotides in length. Their secondary structure includes four short double-helical elements and three loops (D, anti-codon, and T loops). Further hydrogen bonds mediate the characteristic L-shaped molecular structure. tRNAs have two regions of fundamental functional importance: the anti-codon, which is responsible for specific mRNA codon recognition, and the 3' end, to which the tRNAs corresponding amino acid is attached (by aminoacyl-tRNA synthetases). tRNAs cope with the degeneracy of the genetic code in two manners: having more than one tRNA (with a specific anti-codon) for a particular amino acid; and 'wobble' base-pairing, i.e. permitting non-standard base-pairing at the 3rd anti-codon position.
Source: RNAcentral
GGCUCAGUGGCGAAAUGGGAACGCGUCCCCCUUGCAACGGUGAUAUGAAUCGGUUCGAUUCCGGUCUGAGCCUCCA